GUAUUGUAAAUACAUUUUCAAUUAGUUUAAAUUGAUUGUGUCUGAAGCAAACAGCGCUGCGCGCAACACUGCUGUCAGACACAGCUCUCCGAAUAAAGUGGAGCAAAGCUCCUUCUUGAUUCAACACCCAAACGAUCAACAUCUUUUAUUUAUCCGCUCCGCGAAACCCCUCCAAGUGUGCAGAUUACAGAGUUAUAAUAGUGGCGACGAGGAAAAUUACAACCAAUUACAACGUAUACGGUCGAUUAAAAAACACACUACGAACAGCGGGAGAAAUUGAAUAGCAGCCGAAUCAUUGCUGCUGCAGCUUUUGUUUCGCCCCGCCGGGAGGUUGGUUUGAUGCUUGUUCGUGGCAUCAGGUAAGAGUAGCGGAUCAAAAGGGUGAGUGAAAUCAUUUUUUGGUUAAUGCCAGGUUCAUUUAAGAAAUUGAUAUUAAUUGAGAAAAGUUAUUACAUGAAGUGUUUUUUUUAGCCAAAGUAAUUUUAUUAAAUGGUUGAUUGGUGAUUUUUUUUUCGCUAUUGUCAAAAAGGCGCGUAAUCAAAGCUAAUGAGAAAAUUAAUAAAUUUGCGCAAGCAAAGUGGCGUGUCAAUUGAUAAAAUUUAAUGAAUUUUGCUUUAGUGAUUCUAUCGUUUGCUUUUAAAAGAAAAGUUGAGCAAUUGCAUUAAAACUAAAGAAAAUCAUGUUGAAGCAUAGUGCGUGAACAAUACAUUGCUGGCUUUAUAUCCUAAUACCUUGAAAAAAAAAAAAGAAGACUCGACAAUAGUACUAUUAUCCCCAUUUUAGUAUUUAAUUUGCAACAUCAAUUGUGUUGUGUGUGUGUUUGUCCCUAUUGCAAGCGCAAUUGUGUGUAUUAUUUUUGCUUCAACGAUUUGGCAAAUAUGUCUUACAUGAUAACUCCCAAUAUUGAACCCUACCGUAAGAGUCAACCAUUUGCUUCUUGGAUUAAACGUUUAUCGUGCCAUUUCCGAGUAAACAAAAUCCAGCAUAAUGAAAGAAAAUACCAGAUGUUUUGUUUGGGAGGUGAUUUUUUAUUCGAUAUUGCAAAUGAGAUUUUCCCUGCAGAUAAAUUGUUGGAUGUGUCUUAUGAAAUAUUAGUUCAAAAACUCAAGGAAAGACUUGAUAAAAACAAUGUUGACUUUGUGGCUUCAAUAAAAAACAAUUAUCCAUUUUUUGAUUCGGCAAAUAAUGAUUAUCUACAUAAUACGCAAAGUUGUUUUCUUUCUCAACAAUUUAGGUACCAAGACGCAUCUGCUUGUUCAUCGCAUCGACAAUUGGAAAUGGACAGCAACCAAAGGACGGUAGACCAGUGUACCUGUGACUACUGCGGACAACAAGGACACGUGCGAAAAAGAUCAUGGUUGGAAACGAGGCGACAACUACGUCCCAUCCCAAUCAGAUCAGAGUCCUUGAGGAUGGACAUGAAACAUCGGAUCUGUCGAAGCGGGCAAUGCGAGCGGUCGAGACUGGUCGUCCGCUAUCGACUGUCGAGAUUCCCGAGAAUGAUCGACCGUUGCAGACUGCAGCUGAACGCAUGAUGGAACUCGAACUAAACGAGAGCGAUAUCUGGCAAUUACCGGAUCAUACCAAUAGCAGCGCCUCGAAUCAACGCAAGUUAAUGAAGAUUGAGAAUAGAAAAAGAAAAUUCUCGUCAGAGCCGGUAGAGCUUUCUGGCCUACCUAGGCAUUCAAUAAGAUUUAGCAAAGCUAGAUUUAAAAGUGAAAUUUAUUAUUACUUUAAUGUUGAAUAUUUGUUCAUUCUGAGUCUCCUUUCCUUCUGAAGGGGGAAGAGCUGAUGUGUAUUGUAAAUACAUUUUCAAUUAGUUUGAAUUGAUUGUGUCUGAAGCAAACAGCGCUGCGCGCAACACUGCUGUCAGACACAGCUCUCCGAAUAAAGUGGA
Armigeres subalbatus is the source of this 1897-nucleotide RNA transcript. RefSeq lists it as uncharacterized. The transcript is spliced from 3 exons. The record is from RefSeq and is a predicted model, not a curated record. NCBI's taxonomy places the organism in Eukaryota, Metazoa, Arthropoda, Insecta, Diptera, Culicidae.